RNAcentral lists this unclassified non-coding RNA (329 nucleotides) under plant metagenome. RNAcentral describes it as "partial contains 5.8S ribosomal RNA, internal transcribed spacer 2, and large subunit ribosomal RNA". The stretch from base 1 to 105 matches the Rfam family "5.8S ribosomal RNA", at positions 50 to 154 of the family's 154-position model. The record is from RNAcentral.
GAAAUGCGACAAGUAAUGUGAAUUGCAGAAUUCCGUGAAUCAUCGAAUCUUUGAACGCACAUUGCGCCCUCUGGUAUUCCGGGGGGCAUGCCUGUCCGAGCGUCAUUGCGAACCCCUCAAGCACGGCUUGUGUGAUGGGCCCUCCCGCGUCUUGGUCGUCAAGACGGGCCCGAAAUGCAGUGGCGGCUUCGCGGUUAUCCGAUCAGCCAGAGCGUAUGGGGACUUUCUCUCUGUCACACGCCCGCGGCGCGGACCGACGCCUGUCGACCUUUAUUCAUCUUUUUCUCGGUUGACCUCGGAUCAGGUAGGGAUACCCGCUGAACUUAAGC